RNAcentral lists this ribosomal RNA (669 nucleotides) under uncultured bacterium. RNAcentral describes it as "bacterial SSU rRNA". It matches the Rfam family "Bacterial small subunit ribosomal RNA", at positions 397 to 1080 of the family's 1533-position model. The record is from RNAcentral.
CCGCGUGAAGGAAGACGGUCUUCGGAUUGUAACUUUUGUACACAGGGACGAUAAUGACGGUACCUGUGCAGCAAGCUCCGGCUAACUACGUGCCAGCAGCCGCGGUAAUACGUAGGGAGCGAGCGUUGUCCGGAAUUACUGGGUGUAAAGGGUGCGUAGGCGGCUCUGGUAAGUUAGUGGUGAAAACUAUGGGCUUAACCCAUAGCCUGCCAUUAAAACUGCUGGGCUUGAGUGAAGUAGAGGUAGGCGGAAUUCCCGGUGUAGCGGUGAAAUGCGUAGAGAUCGGGAGGAACACCAGUGGCGAAGGCGGCCUACUGGGCUUUAACUGACGCUGAGGCACGAAAGUAUGGGUAGCAAACAGGAUUAGAUACCCUGGUAGUCCAUACCGUAAACGAUGAUUACUAGGUGUGGGGGGUCUAACCCCCUCCGUGCCGGAGUAAACACAAUAAGUAAUCCACCUGGGGAGUACGACCGCAAGGUUGAAACUCAAAGGAAUUGACGGGGGCCCGCACAAGCAGUGGAGUAUGUGGUUUAAUUCGAAGCAACGCGAAGAACCUUACCAGGUCUUGACAUCCAACUAACGAAGCAGAGAUGCAUAAGGUGCCCUUCGGGGAAAGUUGAGACAGGUGGUGCAUGGUUGUCGUCAGCUCGUGUCGUGAGAUGUUGGGU